RNAcentral lists this ribosomal RNA (495 nucleotides) under Triticum aestivum (bread wheat). RNAcentral describes it as "partial small subunit ribosomal RNA". Lineage: Eukaryota; Viridiplantae; Streptophyta; Magnoliopsida; Poales; Poaceae. The record is from RNAcentral.
AUGCUCGAAGAAUUCUGCCAAAACUUUGAAGAGGAAACUAGUCGACUGGAGCCGAACUUGGACCCCGUCAACUCUCCAGUGACCGAUGAAGCAGCCAUGAAUGUGUUCCGCCUUGAGUCCCGCGUUGCCGCUGUUGUCGACUAUCUUGCAAGGCUGAAGGUCGCCACUUCUCGCAUCGACACCAUGCUCUGGCCUAGGGAGACACUCCAGAAUGACCUCGAGUCGCUGAUGGCUCGACUAAACACAGUUCCUGGUCGAGUGCAGGAGUGGAAAAAGUCCUCUGCGAGGUGUUGUGCAGAUGUUGCUCUGUGUCUGGCCCGAGUCCACUGCAAAGAUGCGCGAGAAGAUAAGUUGGCGGCUCUUCGGGUGGCCAACACCAAGAAGCACGACUUCAGGUCCUUCAUGGAGACCUUCAUCGCUGCCGCCACUCGGAUUGCUGACGGAAUUGACCUUGAUGAGUUUGUUGCGCCUUCCAGCCCUCCACAGGAGGGGUAA